This is a long non-coding RNA of Heterocephalus glaber (naked mole-rat), 862 nucleotides long. RefSeq lists it as uncharacterized. The record is from RefSeq and is a predicted model, not a curated record. NCBI's taxonomy places the organism in Eukaryota, Metazoa, Chordata, Mammalia, Rodentia, Bathyergidae.
GAUAUCCUCUCCAUUGCAGCCCCUUCAGCCUCCCGAGGUGGACUCGCACUGGACACUGCACUGAGCUCCAGACCUUCAUCUGGCCCCUUCAGAUUCCCAGGCCGCAGACAGACCUUCAGCGCUCUUCCACACCCAGUGGAGUCUGUGGGUGGCCACUGAUCCACUUACGGCUGCUACAAGAAAACGACUGGCUUUUGUGCCAGGGUUCCAAUUUGUAUGGAGUGUCAUCUUUAUAAUGCAAUGUCCCAUUUGAGGACGGAACGCACGGGAGAACAUUUUCUGCGGCCAGAGCCUCACAGGAGGAGCCCGUCAGCACCUCUGUGAGAGGAGGAGGGACCAGAAAGAGAGUGAGCAAUUCCUGGGGGCAGGAAGGACGUCCAUGCCUCCAAGGAAGACGUUGCCCGUUUUCCUUCUGACGUGGUCAGCACCUGGGUGGGAACCUGAUACUGGCACAGAAGCACAAAGCACAAAUGAUGAAUUAUUCAGAUGAUCACAUUUUCAUUCUAAAAGCCAGAUAUUAGCUUGACUGAUUGGUUUGGUGUUGGAAAAUAAACUCAUUAUAAGGUACUAGGUUUCAUAAGAGUAAGUAGUCAUUCCAGCAAAACCUGACUUAGGAAAAUAUUUUGAACAUUCAAAAUCUUCACUAAUGUCUACUUUAUUCAUUUACAAUAUUUUAUUGCAUAAUAAGCACAUAUUUUAGAGGAAAUGUAAGGCUCAAGAUAAGCAUAAAGAAAAUAAAAAUUAUUCAUAGAUGUACCUUAUAAAAAUAAGAUAUCAUGUUGAUUUAUAAUAUUCUCUAUAUUUUUCUAUGUAUUUAAUUUUUUUUUCAAAAUGGGCUGAUACAAUAAUGUUUGCAAUUUCU